UACGAAGGGGGCGAGCGUUGUUCGGAUUUACUGGGCGUAAAGGGCGCGCAGGCGGUUCUGUUUGUCGUGUGUGAAAGCCCCGGGCUUAACCUGGGAACUGCGUUUGAAACUGGAAGGCUAGAGUGUGGCAGAGGGGGGUGGAAUUCCACGUGUAGCAGUGAAAUGCGUAGAUAUGUGGAGGAACACCGAUGGCGAAGGCAGCCCCCUGGGCUAACACUGACGCUCAUGCACGAAAGCGUGGGGAGCAAACAGG
Molecule: ribosomal RNA, 253 nt
Filed under: uncultured bacterium
Lineage: Bacteria
Description: partial 16S ribosomal RNA
Rfam family: Bacterial small subunit ribosomal RNA
Source: RNAcentral